RNAcentral lists this ribosomal RNA (520 nucleotides) under uncultured bacterium. RNAcentral describes it as "bacterial SSU rRNA". It matches the Rfam family "Bacterial small subunit ribosomal RNA", at positions 777 to 1297 of the family's 1533-position model. The record is from RNAcentral.
AAUAGAUACCCCGGUAGUCCACGCCGUAAACGAUGUCGACUUGGAGGUUGUGCCCUUGAGGCGUGGCUUCCGGAGCUAACGCGUUAAGUCGACCGCCUGGGGAGUACGGCCGCAAGGUUAAAACUCAAAUGAAUUGACGGGGGCCCGCACAAGCGGUGGAGCAUGUGGUUUAAUUCGAUGCAACGCGAAGAACCUUACCUGGUCUUGACAUCCACAGAAUUCUGCAGAGAUGCGGAAGUGCCUUCGGGAACUGUGAGACAGGUGCUGCAUGGCUGUCGUCAGCUCGCGUUGUGAAAUGUUGGGUUAAGUCCCGCAACGAGCGCAACCCUUAUCCUUUGUUGCCAGCGGUUAGGCCGGGAACUCAAAGGAGACUGCCAGUGAUAAACUGGAGGAAGGUGGGGAUGACGUCAAGUCAUCAUGGCCCUUACGACCAGGGCUACACACGUGCUACAAUGGCGCAUACAAAGAGAAGCGACCCCGCGAGAGCAAGCGGACCUCAUAAAGUGCGUCGUAGUCCGGA